Molecule: long non-coding RNA, 1407 nt
Organism: Ictalurus punctatus (channel catfish)
Lineage: Eukaryota; Metazoa; Chordata; Actinopteri; Siluriformes; Ictaluridae
Source: Ensembl
UCUCUCUCUCUGGUCUCCUCUCUCUCUCUCUCUCUAUCUCUCGCUGUAUCUCCCUCUCUCUCUCGGUCUCUCUAUCUCUCUCGCAGUCUCUCUCUCUGUUUCUCUCUCUGUGUCUCUCUAUCUCUCUCUGUCUCUCUCUCUUUUCCUGAGCUGAGUGAAGUGCCCAGUGUUUUAUUUCUGUUUCUAAUUGUGUUUGUUUAUGAAUCUGUGAAACUGAAAGAUGGGCUGAUGUUGAUGAAUUUCAAGUCUAAGGGGGACAUGUUGCGUGUUCUGAGAUGCUUUUCUGCUCAUGACGGUUGUAAAGAGUAGUUAUUAGAGUUACUGUAGUUUCCUGUCAGCUUGAACCAGUCUGGCCUGUUUCAUCAACAAGGUGAUUCCGCCUGCAGAUCUUCUGCUAACUGGAAGCUUCUCGUUUUUCACACCAUGCUGUGUAAACCGUGUGAGAACAUCUCAGAAGAUCAGCAGUUUCCGGGCUACAAAAAGCAGAUGACCACAUCUCCUCAGAACAGGAAUCCGCCUCUACACAAACUACAGAUAAACUCACAUGCAAAGUCCAGAUGAUUCAGCUCAUGAAGCUCCAGGCUUGAUUUGUGAAUGUUGCUGGCUAAUGAGAGUUAGUGUUAUUGACAUGUUGGAAGUCACUCUCUCUUUAUCAAUACUGAGGAUUUUAGUCCUCAUUCAGGGGAAGUCUUAGUCAAUAACUUUAUUUGUUGUACACCACACAAGGAGUGGCAAAUUCAGGACCAGCGUUUAAUUUUCUUAAUGAAUGAAUUCUCUUUAGUGUUGAAUUUUCCUUUAGAAAGAUACCAGAGGACAGAAAACAGACUGGUGCAGGAAAGACCUACUGUCACUCAGCAGUGCGGUGGAUUGAGAUUUAUUGAUGAUGAAUCCCCCGGGCCGAGGCAGGAUAUGCACUUCACAUGAUCACUUCACAUGAGCAGAUGGAGCAUUAGCAUUGUAGCAUACAUGCUAGUUAGAGUAGCAUAAACAAGCAUAAACAGAUAAAGUCUUCCAUCAUCACUGAGGAGAGUAUGGCUGACCUGUCAUACAGAUGGAGCUCAUCAGUUAGAUGGAUAUUUAUCAGGAUUAUAUACACAGGGGAACUGUGCAGUAAACCAGGAAGAGAGAAACAGCUUUAACACGAAUGAUGUUUGCGUGAAUGUGUGGAUCAGCAAGAGGACAGCGCAUACAGACUCCCAUUUCCCUGAUACUCAGGGUGGAGGCCUGUUUUCCCCCUCUCUCUCUCUCCUCUCUCUCUCUCUCUCUCUCUCUCUCUCCCCUCCUCCUCCCUUCCUCCUUAUGCACUACAGUGACACAAGCAGAUCACACACUCAGCGACACCACCAGGCCGGCAGUGGGAGGAGCCUGUCUCCGGGCUACGGCUCAGCACCCAAUCAGAGAGCAGGG